GUGAUUGUGGCUCAGUGGUAGAGCACUUGCCUAGCAUGUGUUCGAUCCUGGGUUCAAUCCUCAGCACCACA
This 71-nucleotide transfer RNA is filed under the name Ictidomys tridecemlineatus (thirteen-lined ground squirrel). RNAcentral's name for it is "Spermophilus tridecemlineatus (thirteen-lined ground squirrel) tRNA". It matches the Rfam family "tRNA". Rfam says of the family: Transfer RNA (tRNA) molecules are approximately 80 nucleotides in length. Their secondary structure includes four short double-helical elements and three loops (D, anti-codon, and T loops). Further hydrogen bonds mediate the characteristic L-shaped molecular structure. tRNAs have two regions of fundamental functional importance: the anti-codon, which is responsible for specific mRNA codon recognition, and the 3' end, to which the tRNAs corresponding amino acid is attached (by aminoacyl-tRNA synthetases). tRNAs cope with the degeneracy of the genetic code in two manners: having more than one tRNA (with a specific anti-codon) for a particular amino acid; and 'wobble' base-pairing, i.e. permitting non-standard base-pairing at the 3rd anti-codon position. The record is from Rfam by way of RNAcentral. Lineage: Eukaryota; Metazoa; Chordata; Mammalia; Rodentia; Sciuridae.